GCCAGAUGGACUCUGUGUCCCCAGUCCCUGAGUUAGCUGACCGCCAGGGCAGGGAGGCCAUGUUGCUCCACACUUUUUUGAAGAAGGCCUUACCUUGAUUCCAUAUGUUUCAGAAUUAGCUGUGUCAUCUACAAGAGAAGGCCAAAGGUACACAUUUUACAAAUGAAGGAAGAGGCAACCCCAUGGACUGAAAUGUUCUCUGAAGUAGAAUUGACCGCAAUCAGGCCUGGCAGGCCUGGAGCAGAUCCUGACUGCAGCAGAUGAAAAACAGAACAAGACAAUUACAAGACCACGACAUGGCCUCUCAACUAAGUGUGGUUCGAUUUCAAAGAAUCCUGCUUCUACAGUGGAUGGGCACAAUUCUCCUGAGUUGCCAAAUUUCAAGUUACUACAUGUUAAUGCAUUUCGCACAUAUAUUGAUCACAUACCUUGACUACGGAGGUGAUGUUACAAUGGAUGAGGCUCUGUAAUAAAUAAUCACAACCACACAUCAGCCGGAUGAUUAGAGAAAUUCUCCUGGAAAGUAGUUGGUGCUAAAGAACCAUGAAGUGGGCAAAAGUGCAUGUCUGAACGGUUUCAUCACUCACCCUGCAAAUUAGGCUCAUAACUGCCUUCCAGCAAGCAUGUACUAGCAUCAAGAAACAUCUGACUCCCAUUCUGUCAUUCUGUACCCACGUCAUCUUGACUAGACAUCAAUUAAGAGUUUCCUGGAAAACUCGGAACUAUAUUCCUGGAGGAAUAUAAAUACGGUUUUUCAAAGGGAGCUACUCCAUUCUCAGCUGGAGGAAGAGGGGUUAGCCUAUGUGAGUCCAGGAGAACAGAAAGACAAAUGGUUGUAUAAUAUAAGGUAGAGGUUCUGGGCUAUGGAGGGCAGGUAAAGAAACCACUAGAAUGACCAAAGAUAAAGAGAAAGGACAAGAGGACGGACACAGACACUAG
Homo sapiens (human) is the source of this 939-nucleotide long non-coding RNA. RefSeq annotates it as HSD17B3 antisense RNA 1. The transcript has 3 exons. The record is from RefSeq and is marked validated. Lineage: Eukaryota; Metazoa; Chordata; Mammalia; Primates; Hominidae.